The submitters of this non-coding RNA (55 nucleotides) gave its source as unclassified sequences. The record is from Rfam.
UGACCACUUCCGAUCCGGAAGUUAAGGCCAUACGGACAGCCGGGUCAAAUGCCGA